Molecule: ribosomal RNA, 497 nt
Filed under: uncultured bacterium
Lineage: Bacteria
Description: partial 16S ribosomal RNA
Rfam family: Bacterial small subunit ribosomal RNA
Source: RNAcentral
GAUGAACGCUGGCGGCGUGCCUAAUACAUGCAAGUCGAGCGAACAGACGAGGAGCUUGCUCCUCUGACGUUAGCGGCGGACGUGUGAGUAACACGUGUAUAACCUACCUAUAAGACUGGGAUAACUUCGGGAAACCGGAGCUAAUACCGUAUAAUAUAUUGAACCGCAUGGUUCAAUAGUGAAAUACGGUUUUGCUGUCACUUAUAGAUGGAUCCGCGCCGCAUUAGCUAGUUGGUAAGGUAACGGCUUACCAAGGCAACGAUGCGUAGCCGACCUGAGAGGGUGAUCGGCCACACUGGAACUGAGACACGGUCCAGACUCCUACGGGAGGCAGCAGUAGGGAAUCUUGCGCAAUGGGCGAAAGCCUGACGGAGCAACGCCGCGUGAGUGAUGAAGGUCUUCGGAUCGUAAAACUCUGUUAUUCGGGAAGAACAAAUGUGUACGUAACUAUGCACGUCUUGACGGUACCUAAUCAGAAAGCCACGGCUAACUACGUG